This 500-nucleotide ribosomal RNA is filed under the name uncultured bacterium. RNAcentral describes it as "partial 16S ribosomal RNA". It matches the Rfam family "Bacterial small subunit ribosomal RNA", at positions 30 to 523 of the family's 1533-position model. The record is from RNAcentral.
AUUGAACGCUGGCGGCAUGCCUUACACAUGCAAGUCGAACGGCAGCACGGGAGCAAUCCUGGUGGCGAGUGGCGAACGGGUGAGUAAAGUAUCGGAACGUGCCCAGUCGUGGGGGAUAACGUAGCGAAAGUUACGCUAAUACCGCAUACGAUCUAUGGAUGAAAGCGGGGGAUCGCAAGACCUCGCGCGAUUGGAGCGGCCGAUAUCAGAUUAGGUAGUUGGUGGGGUAAAGGCUCACCAAGCCGACGAUCUGUAGCUGGUCUGAGAGGACGACCAGCCACACGGGGACGGAGCCACGGCCCAGACUCCUACGGGAGGCAGCAGUGGGGAAUUUUGGACAAUGGGCGAAAGCCUGAUCCAGCCAUGCCGCGUGCAGGAUGAAGGCCUUCGGGUUGUAAACUGCUUUUGUACGGAACGAAAAGGUUUGGCCUAAUAAGCUGAGCUCAUGACGGUACCGUAAGAAUAAGCACCGGCUAACUACGUGCCAGCAGCCGCCGUAA